This 504-nucleotide ribosomal RNA is filed under the name uncultured bacterium. RNAcentral describes it as "partial 16S ribosomal RNA". It matches the Rfam family "Bacterial small subunit ribosomal RNA", at positions 30 to 523 of the family's 1533-position model. The record is from RNAcentral.
AUUGAACGCUGGCGGCAGGCCUAACACAUGCAAGUCAAACGGUAGCACAGAGAGCUUGCUCUCAGGUGACGAGUGGCGGACGGGUGAGUAAUGUCUGGGAAACUGCCCGAUGGAGGGGGAUAACUACUGGAAACGGUAGCUAAUACCGCAUAACGUCGCAAGACCAAAGUGGGGGACCUUCGGGCCUCACACCAUCGGAUGUGCCCAGAUGGGAUUAGCUAGUAGGUGGGAUAAUGGCUCACCUAGGCGACGAUCCCUAGCUGGUCUGAGAGGAUGACCAGCCGCACUGGAACUGAGACACGGUCCAGACUCCUACGGGAGGCAGCAGUGGGGAAUAUUGCACAAUGGGCGCAAGCCUGAUGCAGCCAUGCCGCGUGUAUGAAGUAGGCCUUCGGGUUGUAAAGUACUUUCAGCGGGGAGGAAGGCGGUGAAGUUAAUAGCUUCACCGAUUGACGUUACCCGCAGAAGAAGCACCGGCUAACUCCGUGCCAGCAGCCGCAGUAA